RNAcentral lists this ribosomal RNA (2954 nucleotides) under Xanthomonas arboricola. RNAcentral describes it as "bacterial LSU rRNA". It matches the Rfam family "Bacterial large subunit ribosomal RNA". Lineage: Bacteria; Pseudomonadati; Pseudomonadota; Gammaproteobacteria; Lysobacterales; Lysobacteraceae. The record is from RNAcentral.
AGCGCACACGGUGGAUGCCUAGGCGGUCAGAGGCGAUGAAGGACGUGGUAGCCUGCGAAAAGUGUCGGGGAGCUGGCAACAAGCUUUGAUCCGGCAAUAUCCGAAUGGGGAAACCCACUGCUUCGGCAGUAUCCUGCAGUGAAUUCAUAGCUGCUGGAAGCGAACCCGGUGAACUGAAAUAUCUAAGUAACCGGAGGAAAAGAAAUCAACCGAGAUUCCCUAAGUAGUGACGAGCGAACGGGGAGCAGCCCUUAAGCUGGAAUGGCUUUAGAAAAACAAUCUGGAAAGAUUGGCCAUAGAAGGUGAUAGCCCUGUAUUUAAAAGGGCCACUCCAGUGAAGACGAGUAGGGCGGGGCACGUGAAACCCUGUCUGAAUAUGGGGGGACCAUCCUCCAAGGCUAAAUACUCCUGACCGACCGAUAGUGAACCAGUACCGUGAGGGAAAGGCGAAAAGAACCCCGGAGAGGGGAGUGAAAUAGAUCCUGAAACCGUGUGCGUACAAGCAGUAGGAGCUCGCAAGAGUGACUGCGUACCUUUUGUAUAAUGGGUCAGCGACUUACUGUUCGUGGCAAGCUUAACCGUAUAGGGGAGGCGAAGGGAAACCGAGUCUGAUAAGGGCGCAUAGUCGCGGGCAGUAGACCCGAAACCGGGUGAUCUAGUCAUGGCCAGGGUGAAGGUGCCGUAACAGGUACUGGAGGCCCGACCCCACGUCUGUUGCAAAAGACGGGGAUGAGCUGUGAUUAGGAGUGAAAAGCUAAUCGAACCCGGAGAUAGCUGGUUCUCCUCGAAAGCUAUUUAGGUAGCGCCUCGGACGAAUACUACUGGGGGUAGAGCACUGUUAUGGCUAGGGGGNAACCCAGACCCACAGCUAAGGUCCCAAAUUCACUGCUAAGUGGAAAACGAUGUGGAAAGGCAUAGACAGCCAGGAGGUUGGCUUAGAAGCAGCCACCCUUUAAAGAAAGCGUAAUAGCUCACUGGUCGAGUCGGUCUGCGCGGAAGAUUUAACGGGGCUAAGCAGUGAACCGAAGCUUGGGGUGCAUAAAACUUGUUUUAUGCGCGGUAGAGGAGCGUUCCGUAAGCCUGCGAAGGUGGAUUGAGAAGUCUGCUGGAGGUAUCGGAAGUGCGAAUGCUGACAUGAGUAACGAUAAUGCGGGUGAAAAGCCCGCACGCCGAAAGCCCAAGGUUUCCUUGCGCAACGUUAAUCGACGCAGGGUUAGUCGGUCCCUAAGGCGAGGGCGAAAGCCGUAGUCGAUGGGAAGCAGGUUAAUAUUCCUGCACCUCGCGUGAGUGCGAUGGAGGGACGGAGAAGGUUAGGUGUACCGGGCGUUGGUUGUCCCGGGGAAAGGCGGUAGGUUUGGAUCUUUGGCAAAUCCGGGAUCCUUUAAGACCGAGCACCGAGACGAGCCUUUAUGGCGAAGUCACUGAUACCACGCUUCCAGGAAAAGCUCCUAAGCUUCAGCUCACGAAGACCGUACCGUAAACCGACACAGGUGGGUAGGAUGAGAAUUCUCAGGCGCUUGAGAGAACUCGGGUGAAGGAACUAGGCAACAUGGCACCGUAACUUCGGGAGAAGGUGCACCCUUUUUGGUGGCUCAUGCGAGCUAUAGCUGAAGAGGGUCGCAGAAACCAGGCCGCUGCGACUGUUUAUCAAAAACACAGCACUCUGCAAACACGAAAGUGGACGUAUAGGGUGUGACGCCUGCCCGGUGCUGGAAGGUUAAUUGAUGGGGUCAGCCGCAAGGCGAAGCUCUUGAUCGAAGCCCCAGUAAACGGCGGCCGUAACUAUAACGGUCCUAAGGUAGCGAAAUUCCUUGUCGGGNGGGGUCAGCCGCAAGGCGAAGCUCUUGAUCGAAGCCCCAGUAAACGGCGGCCGUAACUAUAACGGUCCUAAGGUAGCGAAAUUCCUUGUCGGGUAAGUUCCGACCUGCACGAAUGGCGUAACGACAGCGGCGCUGUCUCCACCCGAGACUCAGUGAAAUUGAAAUCGCUGUGAAGAUGCAGCGUUCCCGUGGCAAGACGGAAAGACCCCGUGAACCUUUACUAUAGCUUUACACUGAACGUUGAGUUCGUCUGUGUAGGAUAGGUGGGAGGCUAUGAAACUGUGGCGCUAGCUGCAGUGGAGCCAUCCUUGAAAUACCACCCUGUCGUGCUUGACGUUCUAACCUAGAUCCGUUAUCCGGAUCAGGGACCGUGUAUGGUGGGUAGUUUGACUGGGGCGGUCUCCUCCUAAAGAGUAACGGAGGAGCACGAAGGNCUAGAUCCGUUAUCCGGAUCAGGGACCGUGUAUGGUGGGUAGUUUGACUGGGGCGGUCUCCUCCUAAAGAGUAACGGAGGAGCACGAAGGUACGCUCAGCGCGGUCGGACAUCGCGCACUGUGUGCAAAGGCAUAAGCGUGCUUGACUGCAAGAUCGACGGAUCAAGCAGGUACGAAAGUAGGUCUUAGUGAUCCGGUGGUUCUGUAUGGAAGGGCCAUCGCUCAACGGAUAAAAGGUACUCCGGGGAUAACAGGCUGAUACCGCCCAAGAGUUCAUAUCGACGGCGGUGUUUGGCACCUCGAUGUCGGCUCAUCACAUCCUGGGGCUGUAGUCGGUCCCAAGGGUAUGGCUGUUCGCCAUUUAAAGUGGUACGCGAGCUGGGUUCAGAACGUCGUGAGACAGUUCGGUCCCUAUCUGCCAUGGGCGUUGGAAGUUUGAGAGGGGCUGCUCCUAGUACGAGAGGACCGGAGUGGACGAACCUCUGGUGUUCCGGUUGUCACGCCAGUGGCAUUGCCGGGUAGCUAUGUUCGGAAGCGAUAACCGCUGAAAGCAUCUAAGCGGGAAGCGCGCCUCAAGAUGAGACUUCCCGGGGCACAAGCCCCCUAAAGGAACCAUAUAGACUAUGUGGUUGAUAGGUCAGGUGUGUAAGUACAGCAAUGUAUUGAGCUAACUGAUACUAAUGAUCCGUGCGGCUUGACC